AUGAACGCUGGCGGCGUGCCUAAUACAUGCAAGUCGAGCGAACAGACGAGGAGCUUGCUCCUCUGACGUUAGCGGCGGACGGGUGAGUAACACGUGGAUAACCUACCUAUAAGACUGGGAUAACUUCGGGAAACCGGAGCUAAUACCGGAUAAUAUAUUUAACCGCAUGGUUCAAUAGUGAAAGACGGUUUUGCUGUCACUUAUAGAUGGAUCCGCGCCGCAUUAGCUAUUUGGUAAGGUAACGGCUUACCAAGGCAACGAUGCGUAGCCGACCUGAGAGGGUGAUCGGCCACACUGGAACUGAGACACGGUCCAGACUCCUACGGGAGGCAGCAGUAGGGAAUCUUCCGCAAUGGGCGAAAGCCUGACGGAGCAACGCCGCGUGAGUGAUGAAGGUCUUCGGAUCGUAAAACUCUGUUAUUAGGGAAGAACAAAUGUGUAAGUAACUAUGCACGUCUUGACGGUACCUAAUCAGAAAGCCACGGCUAACUACGUG
RNAcentral lists this ribosomal RNA (496 nucleotides) under uncultured bacterium. Its description in RNAcentral is "partial 16S ribosomal RNA". It matches the Rfam family "Bacterial small subunit ribosomal RNA", at positions 29 to 507 of the family's 1533-position model. The record is from RNAcentral.